Molecule: ribosomal RNA, 253 nt
Filed under: uncultured bacterium
Lineage: Bacteria
Description: partial 16S ribosomal RNA
Rfam family: Bacterial small subunit ribosomal RNA
Source: RNAcentral
UACAGAGAGUGCGAGCGUUAAUCGGAAUUACUGGGCGUAAAGCGCAUGUAGGUGGAUAUUUAAGUCGGAUGUGAAAGCCCUGGGCUUAACCUAGGAACUGCAUCCGAUACUGAAUGUCUAGAGUAUGGUAGAGGGAAGUGGAAUUUCCGGUGUAGCGGUGAAAUGCGUAGAUAUCGGAAAGAACACCAGUGGCGAAGGCGUCUUCCUGGACCAAUACUGACACUGAGGUGCGAAAGCGUGGGGAGCAAACAGG